This 179-nucleotide unclassified non-coding RNA is filed under the name uncultured Herpotrichiellaceae. RNAcentral's name for it is "sequence contains ITS2". Lineage: Eukaryota; Fungi; Ascomycota; Eurotiomycetes; Chaetothyriales; Herpotrichiellaceae. The record is from RNAcentral.
UCACCCCUCAAGCCCUGUGCUUGGUAUUGGACGGUCUGGUCGGUUUAUACGACCCCUCCUAAAGACAAUGACGGCGGCCUGUGGAGCCCCCGGUACACUGAGCUUUUAACUGAGCACGUACUGGACAAGGGCGCCCGGGACCCGGUCUUCUCCCGCUUAGGUGGGAAAACUCUUCUAAG